This 740-nucleotide ribosomal RNA is filed under the name uncultured bacterium. RNAcentral's name for it is "bacterial SSU rRNA". It matches the Rfam family "Bacterial small subunit ribosomal RNA", at positions 8 to 796 of the family's 1533-position model. The record is from RNAcentral.
AGAGUUUGAUCCUGGCUCAGAGCGAACGCUGGCGGCAGGCCUAAUACAUGCAAGUCGAACGGCUCUUCGGAGCAGUGGCGGACGGGUGAGUAACGCGUGGGAACGUGCCCUUUGGUUCGGAACAACACAGGGAAACUUGUGCUAAUACCGAAUGUGCCCUUCGGGGGAAAGAUUUAUCGCCAUUGGAGCGGCCCGCGUUGGAUUAGCUAGUUGGUGGGGUAAAGGCCCACCAAGGCGACGAUCCAUAGCUGGUCUGAGAGGAUGAUCAGCCACACUGGGACUGAGACACGGCCCAGACUCCUACGGGAGGCAGCAGUAGGGAAUCUUGCGCAAUGGGCGAAAGCCUGACGCAGCCAUGCCGCGUGAAUGAUGAAGGUCUUAGGAUUGUAAAAUUCUUUCACCGGGGAAGAUAAUGACGGUACCCGGAGAAGAAGCCCCGGCUAACUUCGUGCCAGCAGCCGCGGUAAUACGAAGGGGGCUAGCGUUGCUCGGAAUUACUGGGCGUAAAGGGCGCGUAGGCGGACAACUUAGUCAGAGGUGAAAGCCCAGGGCUCAACCUUGGAAUUGCCUUUGAUACUGGUUGUCUUGAGUUCGGGAGAGGUGAGUGGAAUGCCGAGUGUAGAGGUGAAAUUCGUAGAUAUUCGGCGGAACACCAGUGGCGAAGGCGACUCACUGGCCCGAUACUGACGCUGAGGCGCGAAAGCGUGGGGAGCAAACAGGAUUAGAUACCCUAGUAGUCC